GAGGGGAGGUAAACCAACAAGAACUGCUAACUCUUGCACCUGGGCUUAAACCCCCAGUCCCCUUA
This 65-nucleotide transfer RNA is filed under the name Dendrocopos leucotos (white-backed woodpecker). RNAcentral describes it as "tRNA-Ser". RNAcentral also lists the same sequence under 1 other name. The record is from RNAcentral. Lineage: Eukaryota; Metazoa; Chordata; Aves; Piciformes; Picidae.